UACGUAGGGUGCGAGCGUUGUCCGGAAUUACUGGGCGUAAAGAGCUCGUAGGCGGCCUGUUGCGUCGGUUGUGAAAGCCCGGGGCUUAACCCCGGGUCUGCAUUCGAUACGGGCUAGCUAGAGUGUGGUAGGGGAGAUCGGAAUUCCUGGUGUAGCGGUGAAAUGCGCAGAUAUCAGGAGGAACACCGGUGGCGAAGGCGGAUCUCUGGGCCAUUACUGACGCUGAGGAGCGAAAGCGUGGGGAGCAAACAGG
RNAcentral lists this ribosomal RNA (253 nucleotides) under uncultured bacterium. Its description in RNAcentral is "partial 16S ribosomal RNA". It matches the Rfam family "Bacterial small subunit ribosomal RNA", at positions 524 to 776 of the family's 1533-position model. The record is from RNAcentral.